CGUGCUCAGUAUGACUAAUGCAUUAGUCACAGGUUACACUAUGAGAGACUCAAGAAAAGACAGUCUUGAUCUCCAGAACGACCUUGCUUCCUGACUCUAAAUUCCUCCUCUCCAACCAAUGAUUCCUCUCUGCCUCCACCUCUGAGACUGGUUCUUUUCCUGGCAGGAGAUAUUUACUGAGCAGGCCUAGCCACCACCUGUGGCCUCCUGCGGGCCAGACUGGACUGCAGCUGCCAGGACCUAGUGAUGGCCCCAAACCUGAGAGUGGGCCCAGGGCCCCACCCCGCUAACCCUGC
RNAcentral lists this long non-coding RNA (296 nucleotides) under Macaca mulatta (Rhesus monkey). RNAcentral describes it as "lncRNA (ENSMMUG00000052793.1)". The record is from RNAcentral. Lineage: Eukaryota; Metazoa; Chordata; Mammalia; Primates; Cercopithecidae.